UUUGAGGUGGACACGUGGUGCAGU
Molecule: microRNA, 24 nt
Filed under: Ornithorhynchus anatinus (platypus)
Lineage: Eukaryota; Metazoa; Chordata; Mammalia; Monotremata; Ornithorhynchidae
Description: Oan-Mir-1421-P7c_5p (mature (guide))
Source: RNAcentral